CACGUAGGGUGCGAGCGUUGUCCGGAAUUAUUGGGCGUAAAGAGCUCGUAGGCGGUCCGUCACGUCGGAUGUGAAAUUCCAGGGCUCAACCCUGGACCUGCAUUCGAUACGGGCAGACUAGAGUUCGGUAGGGGAGACUGGAAUUCCUGGUGUAGCGGUGAAAUGCGCAGAUAUCAGGAGGAACACCGGUGGCGAAGGCGGGUCUCUGGGCCGAUAUUGACGCUGAUGCGCGAAAGCCAGGGGAGCAAACGGG
Molecule: ribosomal RNA, 253 nt
Filed under: uncultured bacterium
Lineage: Bacteria
Description: partial 16S ribosomal RNA
Rfam family: Bacterial small subunit ribosomal RNA
Source: RNAcentral